This 419-nucleotide ribosomal RNA is filed under the name Streptococcus sanguinis. RNAcentral describes it as "bacterial SSU rRNA". It matches the Rfam family "Bacterial small subunit ribosomal RNA", at positions 38 to 448 of the family's 1533-position model. The record is from RNAcentral. Lineage: Bacteria; Bacillati; Bacillota; Bacilli; Lactobacillales; Streptococcaceae.
GGCGGCGUGCCUAAUACAUGCAAGUAGAACGCUGAAGAGAGGAGCUUGCUCUUCUUGGAUGAGUUGCGAACGGGUGAGUAACGCGUAGGUAACCUGCCUGGUAGCGGGGGAUAAUAUGGAAACGAUAGCUAAUACCGCAUGAAAUUGCUUAUCGCAUGAUAAUUAAUUGAAAGAUGCAAUUGCAUCACUACCAGAUGGGCCUGCGUUGUAUUAGCUAGUUGGUGAGGUAACGGCUCACCAAGGCGACGAUACAUAGCCGACCUGAGAGGGUGAUCGGCCACACUGGGAUCUGAGACACGGCCCAGACUCCUACGGGAGGCAGCAGUAGGGAAUCUUCGGCAAUGGGGGGAACCCUGACCGAGCAACGCCGCGUGAGUGAAGAAGGUUUUCGGAUCGUAAAGCUCUGUUGUAAGAGAAGA